Molecule: ribosomal RNA, 465 nt
Filed under: Vreelandella stevensii
Lineage: Bacteria; Pseudomonadati; Pseudomonadota; Gammaproteobacteria; Oceanospirillales; Halomonadaceae
Description: partial 16S ribosomal RNA
Rfam family: Bacterial small subunit ribosomal RNA
Source: RNAcentral
CCUACGGGGGGCUGCAGUGGGGAAUAUUGGACAAUGGGCGUAAGCCUGAUCCAGCCAUGCCGCGUGUGUGAAGAAGGCCUUCGGGUUGUAAAGCACUUUCAGUGGGGAAGAAAGCCUUGGGGCUAAUACCCUCGAGGAAGGACAUCACCCACAGAAGAAGCACCGGCUAACUCCGUGCCAGCAGCCGCGGUAAUACGGAGGGUGCGAGCGUUAAUCGGAAUUACUGGGCGUAAAGCGCGCGUAGGCGGUCUGAUAAGCCGGUUGUGAAAGCCCCGGGCUCAACCUGGGAACGGCAUCCGGAACUGUCAGGCUAGAGUGCAGGAGAGGAAGGUAGAAUUCCCGGUGUAGCGGUGAAAUGCGUAGAGAUCGGGAGGAAUACCAGUGGCGAAGGCGGCCUUCUGGACUGACACUGACGCUGAGGUGCGAAAGCGUGGGUAGCAAACAGGAUUAGAUACCCCAGUAGUC